GACCCUCAGACCCACAGUAGGGGAUUCUUAGGUUCACUCACUCAUUCCUUCCUUUACUCAUUCACGUUACACACUGUGUUCAUUGUCUACUAAAUGACACAGUAAGUUCACAGUGAA
Non-coding RNA from Ceratotherium simum simum (southern white rhinoceros), 117 nucleotides. The record is from RefSeq and is a predicted model, not a curated record. NCBI's taxonomy places the organism in Eukaryota, Metazoa, Chordata, Mammalia, Perissodactyla, Rhinocerotidae.